Molecule: ribosomal RNA, 402 nt
Filed under: uncultured Coriobacteriaceae bacterium
Lineage: Bacteria; Bacillati; Actinomycetota; Coriobacteriia; Coriobacteriales; Coriobacteriaceae
Description: bacterial SSU rRNA
Rfam family: Bacterial small subunit ribosomal RNA
Source: RNAcentral
UGGGGAAUAUUGCGCAAUGGGCGAAAGCCUGACGCAGCAACGCCGCGUGCGGGAUGAAGGCCUUCGGGUUGUAAACCGCUUUCAGCAGGGACGAAACUGACGGUACCUGCAGAAGAAGCCCCGGCUAACUACGUGCCAGCAGCCGCGGUAAUACGUAGGGGGCUAGCGUUAUCCGGAUUCAUUGGGCGUAAAGCGCGCGUAGGCGGGCUGUUAAGUCAGGUGUGAAAACCGGGGGCUCAACCCGCGGCCUGCACCUGAAACUGGCAGCCUCGAGUCUGGUAGAGGAAAGUGGAAUUCCCAGUGUAGCGGUGAAAUGCGCAGAUAUUGGGAGGAACACCAGUGGCGAAGGCGGCUUUCUGGGCCACGACUGACGCUGAGGCGCGAAAGCUAGGGGAGCAGACA